Molecule: long non-coding RNA, 819 nt
Organism: Triticum aestivum (bread wheat)
Lineage: Eukaryota; Viridiplantae; Streptophyta; Magnoliopsida; Poales; Poaceae
Exons: 2
Source: RefSeq, a predicted model, not a curated record
CAGUUGAGAGCAGAAAGAUAAUAGAAAAGAUGAGGUGGAUCACUAUGCACUUAGGCCCAAUGUGCACAACACAGGCCCAGCCCACCCUAGCACCUUCUCCUAUCUCUGUUCACAAGGGCGUGCUGGACGAACAACACUCGUCCAUUGCUCAGAUGGCCGCGUGCCGAGCAUCCGCCGUCUCCCCCACGAGGAUAAGGAUGCCACCCGAUUCCCCUCUGCCCAUGGACGAACCCUAGCCCCCCACUUCCCCCUUUCCCUCGCUCUCUCUCUUCUCCUCGCGUGAAACCGCUGCUGCCGUCGCCAUGGCCGCGACCACCGUGCUCCCCGCGCCGCGAGAAGACGCCCAGAAGGACUGCCACGGUCCACUUCGUCCAUCCCGAGGACCGAAUCGAGCGGGGAAGGCCCGUACACUCGCCAUCGCCACCAUCUUCAUCUUGUACAUCGCCGCGGCCUCGACGUCGAUCCGCAUCACCUCGUCCAUCCCGGCCUCGUACGAGCUCACCACCGACCUCCUCUCGAUGACGGAGUCCAGGAGCCAGAUGAGACCUUUGACUACUGCUACUACACCGAGGGCGUCUACUACCACGUGACGAAGACCGCCGAUGACCAGGAGUAGUUAGGAGGCUCCCAGGCAGGAGGCCUUGCCUUUUCGAUCGUAGAUGCUUUUGUGCUAGCCUUCUUAAGGCAAACUUGUUUAACUUAUGUCUGUACUCAGAUAUUGUUGCUUCCGCUGACUCGUUUGUAUUCAAGCUGAUGUAUUCGAGCCCUCGAGGCCCCUGGCUUGUAAUAUAAAGCUUGUAUUAUUUUAAUUUGUGUCUA